RNAcentral lists this long non-coding RNA (1176 nucleotides) under Ananas comosus (pineapple). RNAcentral describes it as "long non-coding RNA (ACOM_LNC002438)". The record is from RNAcentral. Lineage: Eukaryota; Viridiplantae; Streptophyta; Magnoliopsida; Poales; Bromeliaceae.
CCCGUCGUACACCGCCCAUCACCUCUCCAUUACCGUGUAUAGCCCCUCAUCUCCCCUUUUCUCUUCUUCUUCCUUUCUUCGUUAGCUUGCCGUUUUCCAAAACAUUACUUCUUCUUCUCUCUCUCUCUCUCUCUCUCUCUCUCUCUACAGCAUUAAUGCAGGAGUUGGUGAUCGUGUAGUCCCCAGUGGACUCCAUGCGCCACCCUCACCACGCCCUCCUCUCCGUCGAAUGCAGCGGUUGCGCCGGCUUCAUCACCUCCUCUCAAAACCUUUUGCAUACAAGCAGAUUAUUAACUCGGUGCAUUUUACUGUAUCCUUCACAUGCAUUUUUGGAAGUAUGCUUAUUUUCUAGGUAACUUUCUACAAAUUUAUAUAAACUCGAGCAAUUUGCUAGCAGUUUGUAAAUCUUUUUUCUCUCAAUUGUGCUAAAAAUACAUUGUUAAAGUAUAGAUGAAUUGAUAUUUCCCUGAUUAGAAAAUUACAUGUCUAGAUUACAAUCACAGAUAUGACCAUAACAUUUGCAAUUUCGUUGCAUUUGUACUUUCUUUCGUGAUCAAAUGAGAUCAUUAUGAUACUUUCAUGCUUGAAAAUCAGUUGAAGUGUUUAUUGCUUGUGUUUUUCUUCUUCUUAGCAUAUUACUCUGUUUAUUUCGAUCUUGGAUAAUUGCCUUAAAUUUCUGCUUAGCUUGGUGUUCUAUCGAAGGUAGAUCCACCUAUCUCUUUGUUGCUAAUUAUAGGCUGGUGAUCAUUUAAUACAAAGUGAAAAAGCAUUUAGGCUUAUUUAUUGUUCUAUAAAUUUCUUAUCCUCUUUUAUUUUGCUGACGAGGCUAAAGAUGAAUCCAGGAAGUCGCAGUCUGAGAUUUACCAUGAUGAUGAUGGGAAAGAUAUCGAAGAGCUUCAAUUUCUUAGUUUUCUCUCUUGAUCCCUAUUUAUUAUUUCGGGAUUUAGCAUCAAUUUGCUCUAAUUUAUUUAUUUUGAAUGUGUAUUUCUUCGCAGGAGGAGGACGAUGAUAAAUGGAGUAUAUAAUUUUCCUAUUGACGAAACAGUAUAUGCUAAUGUUAAUUAGCGACCUCAAAAACAUGCUUAUUCCUAAUUUCACUGAUAUGUGAUUAUUCCUAAUUCAUUAGUGCUUAUCUCUAGACUUAACUAGAUGCCUCAACAAAUUUUAGAUUGUGUG